GACCCGGUCCGACUCGGUCCGACCCGCUGCGCCGCUGUGCCACCGCCCCCCCAACCCUUUCACCGUCACAUAUUUGUAGAGCCGUGGCAGUUCGGAAAAGGAACGCGGAGGAAACCCCCCUCUUAUGGGCGCAGAUUCGUAUCCGUAACGACCGUGCUAUUCGCUGCCGAUACUCGUCGUACAAACAGGCCCGUAUCUGUGAGUUUGUCGGGCAUGAAAUGCGUUCCGUGCCGUCCUGCUCGAACAGGUAGUUUUGGCGAGGACGACCGAUCGGGUUUGUCUGUGACGCGCGUGAGGAAGCGAGCAGAGCCCGCGUCACGACGUAAUCUUCACGAAAGCUUCGGGUGCUAAAACGCGACCCCCGUGCAUUCGGUAAAAGGAUGCAAACUGCAAAACGCGCCACCGUAGAUGUCGUGGGCCGAUCUUCCCGAAAUCGUGCUGGAAAACAACGUAGCGGAAAGCGGGAGCGACCGUUCACAUCGCGCUCCUUCGGGUACCUUUACUCGGCUGCGCGUGUGGCGGGAUGACGGGCGCGCGUCCGUGUCGCCGGUUCCGCCGGUUAUCGAUUAAAUGAUAACGAUGGAUAUUCGCGCACCGACGUGUUUGUGACCAUAUCGUCGCGUAUUUCCUUCUUUCGUUUCAUCCCACGGUCGAUAUUCGUAACAUUUAUCCGUCAGCUUCCGCGUAAAUGUCUGCUAGGCCCUAAUGGUGACGAUAAUAUCGGCGAUUGAGAGAAGUAUCGGAAGUCCUGGCAGCCGCCUCUUUGUGUGUGUUCUUGUAGAUGUGCCAGGCCCCCGUCGUAGGUGUCCGCGGAGAUCGUCCGGUUUGAAAUAUUCAUCUCCUUUGGGCUCUCUGAGACAGUGCGGCCUAAUUGCAGCUUCACACAACUCCACCUCACUCUGCUGACGGCCAGGGAGCAGGCAACAGCUGGUGUGUGUGCGUGUGUGUGCGCGCGCGUGUGUGGGUGUGUCACUUUUUUUUGUUUAUUUUUUCAGGCCACGUUUCAUGAAUGAGCGUGCUGCGCGUGUGAAGGGAAGGAGCGCUGUGUGUCUUUUUUGUUUUUACUCGCGUAUCUUUUAAACGCUUCGGGGUUCACGUCCUUCUAUAAAAUGUUUCAUUUUCACCAGGGUCGCUAUAAUCACCUUAACCAGUACAAUGGUUUUUUUUUUUUUUUCUUCUUCUUUUUUUAAAUUAAAUUUCAAAUUUGAUCCUCGGCGUAUCGUGUUCUCGAAGGCCGUGUUGCCGGGGCUCUCCCUCCUAAAAAUAUUCUCAUUAAUACGAGCUCCGGCUGGAUCCGCAGCAUAAAAGGCUGACACCAACUAUUGCAGCAUGUGGCACGGAGUCGGUCGGUCCGUCCGUAUGUCUGUCCGCAGGGGGGGCCCGGCCAGGGAUUUCAUCAGUUCCCGUGCCAGCGAUGCCCAGCCAAGCUGAACCAUCUUGUGGGAUUUUGGGCUUUUAAUUAUGGUGACGGUGGAUUAAUUAAGGCGCUAGGAACAAGGGGCCAUGCAUUAUUGAUGAACAAGGUUUGAUUGAGGGGCUGGAGAGAGAGAGAGACCGGUAAUUAAAUCACUUUUUCUAGCUUGGCCCCCCCGCCUCCCGCAGCCGGACUGCCGCCUUCCAUGGACAGGUUCAGUCGAAGGAGGCCGCCCGGAGCUGCGGUCCUUAGGCGUCCGUUUCCCGCGUUUCCUCUUUCCUCCGUGCGGCAGGAAUACGUUUCAAACCUUCGUUCGCGAACAAGUCGGCGGAUCGCAAGACACGUUGGCGUGGAAGUGAUCUGUGGACGAAAGCACCGAGGUAAGAGGUGCGUACGGACGGAAGGUCCCCGCCUUUAUCCGCGCUUCUUUUGCGGCGCCUUUCGGACUCUCGCUUUCUUGGCUCCCCUCCUUAUUCCGCCUGCGAGCGGCUUUGGAGAAAAGCGUCGGCCGGACGAACGCACGUCAACGCGUUGCGUCUUAUGUAUCGCUGGCGUGAUUUUUAAAGCUUUCGGUUACGCGAGCCUUAUGCUCCACCCGAGAGGCGGCGGGGGGAGAGCAACCUGUGCCUUCGCACCUGGCGGUUCAACGGUACGGGAAGGGUGCGGUCGUGUUUUCGAGGUUCCCGCGGAAUCGUACGUCACGGCAGAACCGCGCCGCAUUGACACGCUUGUGCGUUCGUUCAUCGACGCUCUCGGUUAUUGCUUAGACAUGUCGGGCGAUGCACCUCGUGGCUCUUCCUCUUCACGUCACUGUCGUGAAAGUACGGUAAUGAAAGGCUGGAAGAAUCGGUCCCGCCGGGAUUUGAAAUGGGAUGCGGAGGGAGCCGGAGCGAGGUGCGCCUCGUGAAAAGCGAGGCGAUGCUCUUCGGCGACUUUUUCGCGAAAACCUCGCCUGCCCACCGAGCGCUUAGGAGAGCUGUUGCCAGGAUGUGGACGCGCGGUCCUUGAGGCCGGGGAGGAGCGCGUGCGUCUCUAUGGUCGGAAGAGGGCGGCUGCCUUCGCUUUACAUUGUGCCUUAGCGGUUAAGAAAAGAUCGAGAUUUAAUCGCUCGCGUGAAUUUUGCGCGCCGUAUGAAGAAGCGGAGCCGCAAGCCGGCGCGCGAGUGGAUGCGUGGCCUUCCGAGGUGCCGCGCGUGAGCGCUAGGGGGCGUCCUGCGUCAACAAUCGCACACGGCAGGCUGGAGAAGAGAGGCCGCGCCGCGAGCGCGGUGAGCGUACGGGGCCGGAAGGUACCGAGAAAGCGACGGCGCUGGGGACGCUCCUCAGGCCGGGCUCCGUGUUCGCGACGACAGACCGCGAGUGUGGGAUUACCGUCCUUUCAUUGAACUGGCACGUCUCUCAGCCUUAACACCUUCCAGAUGGGGCUGGGUGCUGCCGCGAAUCUCGCCGUGGCAGCGACCGUGACGGUCGGAAGAGCCGUAAGCCCACGGUGCACGUGGGGACUCGAGGCCCGCUGCCUCCGCUCUGUAGGCCAAGGUCAAGGAGCCUGGAACGUCGCUGACCCUGCGUCGCCGUUCUCCGGAGCCCCGUUUCCCUCAGCGGGAGCAGCAGCGGCGGCAGCAGGCGGAGCGCAGCUUAAGGAUCCGUGGUGUUUAGGGAUCCGAAGCGCCACACGCAGGCUAUGAUCGGACUUAAUUAGCCAGUUCGAGUCCGUGGGGAGACCCUGCUGCUGUUACUUUGAGUAAGAGUCUGCUGGACAUGAGGUAAACAGACCCCACGGAGGAGCCCGGCGAAACGGGAGAGGCGGGACCAGAGCCGCACAGCCUCCCGCUCCGCACGGGUUCUCGGCGAUUUUUCUCGGAUGGGGCGUUCGGUAGGGAUGUGGAGUCGUCCGUGCUGUAGCGUUCGCUCGUGAUGCGCUGAUGCUCAGACGGAAGCUAUGAGCCGUGUUGCCCUAUAUCUCUGAUCUACCAGCAGUCACGCAAACUUUUACUAAAGGUUAAAACUGAAAGUAUUGCUCUCACAAAGAACCCGCUAACAAUGCCCGACAGCGCGCGAUUUCCCUGCUGACGUUCCCAGCUGGGCAGCAUGGUCGUGCGGCAGGUAGUGCUGAUGCCUCACUCUCCUGGGCUGUAGUUUGGAUGUGGGUUCGAA
Molecule: long non-coding RNA, 3567 nt
Organism: Scleropages formosus (Asian bonytongue)
Lineage: Eukaryota; Metazoa; Chordata; Actinopteri; Osteoglossiformes; Osteoglossidae
Exons: 3
Source: RefSeq, a predicted model, not a curated record